This is a ribosomal RNA of Sapajus apella (tufted capuchin), 119 nucleotides long. The record is from RefSeq and is a predicted model, not a curated record. Lineage: Eukaryota; Metazoa; Chordata; Mammalia; Primates; Cebidae.
GUCUACAGCCAUACCACCCUGAACACGCCCGAUCUUACCUGAUCUCAGAAGCUAAGCAGGGUCGGGCCUGGUUAGUACUUGGAUGGGAGACCACCUGGGAAUACCAGGUGCUGUGGGCU